AACGAACGCUGGCGGCAGGCCUAACACAUGCAAGUCGAGCGAGGUAGCAAAACCUAGCGGCGGACGGGUGAGUAACGCGUGGGAACGUACCCUUUGCUACGGAAUAGCCCCGGGAAACUGGGAGUAAUACCGUAUGUGCCCUUCGGGGAAGGAUUUAUCGGCAAAGGAUCGGCCCGCGUUGGAUUAGGUAGUUGGUGGGGUAAGUGGCCUACCAAGCCGACGAUCCAUAGCUGGUUUGAGAGGAUGAUCAGCCACACUGGGACUGAGACACGGCCCAGACUCCUACGGGAGGCAGCAGUGGGGGAAUCUUAGACAAUGGGCGCAAGCCUGAUCUAGCCAUGCCGCGUGAGUGAUGAAGGCCUUAGGGUUGUAAAGCUCUUUCAGAUGGGAAGAUAAUGACGGUACCAUCAGAAGAAGCCCCGGCUAACUCCGUG
Molecule: ribosomal RNA, 434 nt
Filed under: uncultured bacterium
Lineage: Bacteria
Description: bacterial SSU rRNA
Rfam family: Bacterial small subunit ribosomal RNA
Source: RNAcentral